Small nuclear RNA from Carcharodon carcharias (great white shark), 139 nucleotides. RefSeq annotates it as U11 spliceosomal RNA. The transcript has a single exon. Lineage: Eukaryota; Metazoa; Chordata; Chondrichthyes; Lamniformes; Lamnidae. The record is from RefSeq and is a predicted model, not a curated record.
AAAAAACCCAUCUGGUUCAAGAAUAUAGCACAUGGAUGAGGUGCUUGCGCUUUAUCUGUGCAGAAUUGAUAUCAAGAGAUUUUGGAAGCACAAUUUUUGUUUCUUGGAGCUGCUAGUGAUUGUUUGUCUUGGCGCUCCA